UAGGGGAAUUUUGGACAAUGGGCGCAAGCCUGAUCCAGCAAUGCCGCGUGCAGGAAGAAGGCCUUCGGGUUGUAAACUGCUUUUGUACGGAGCGAAACGGUUCGGGUUAAUACCCUGGGCUAAUGACGGUACCGUAAGAAUAAGCACCGGCUAACUACGUGCCAGCAGCCGCGGUAAUACGUAGGGUGCAAGCGUUAAUCGGAAUUACUGGGCGUAAAGCGUGCGCAGGCGGUUUUGUAAGACAGGCGUGAAAUCCCCGGGCUCAACCUGGGAAUGGCGCUUGUGACUGCAAAGCUGGAGUGCGGCAGAGGGGGAUGGAAUUCCGCGUGUAGCAGUGAAAUGCGUAGAUAUGCGGAGGAACACCGAUGGCGAAGGCAAUCCCCUGGGCCUGCACUGACGCUCAUGCACGAAAGCGUGGGGAGCAAACAGG
Molecule: ribosomal RNA, 430 nt
Filed under: uncultured beta proteobacterium
Lineage: Bacteria; Pseudomonadati; Pseudomonadota; Betaproteobacteria
Description: bacterial SSU rRNA
Rfam family: Bacterial small subunit ribosomal RNA
Source: RNAcentral